UACGUAAUGAAAGAAAUUGCCUUAAGGUUCCAAAAUGCUGGCAAAGCUUUCAUGUGAUCUUGUGCAACCCAAUGUGCAGAUCAGGUUAAUACUUGUAGGAAAAAGUAAACGUGCCUCGUUCGCACGUUUCCGUCAUUCAUGUCGUACAAAAAAUUCAAGUCCGAUGCCCCCUGGAAACGACCCACGACUUUGCUCAAGAUAAAACGUCGUUUGCUAUCUGUACUUUCCGUUCCUUCUUUAAAAAGAACUUAUUUCUUCUUAAAAAAUGACGUCAUUUAACGUCGUUCGUCGCUCCAGUUUUCUGGCCCUCUUUUUAAACGGCCUUUUAACGUGCGUUAGAGAUCAUUGCUUUCCUGUUUCUUUCGCUUCAAGUUUUAAGAAUGGACCACUACUUUAGGCAUUAGUAAAAUCUCAGUUUUGGCGAUUACUUUAAAUGCAAAUAUGAAGUAUAAAUACAACUGGUAAUUUUUUCAUCAAUUUGAACUUAAUUGUUUCAUAUUUAUACUGAAUAUUUGUAACUAGUUAUAUCAUAAGAAGGCUUGAUAGGACAAAAUAAAAGUUAGAGAUUCAGGAAAUCAUACGUGGGUUCUGUUAGAGAGAGAAUAAGCAAUUUAGAGAGAGUAGCAAAGGAUCGAGGAAAUACUUUCAAAGCAGGCCCAGUAUCAAGCUAUUCUUGUUUCUGCACGGUAUAUGUGCAAGGAACAUGUUCCAUGAGAUUGAGAUUGCGUAUCUUUUCUUCCAAAAGAAAAGUAAAAAUGUCUAUAUUUUUUUCCAAAAGAAAAGUAAAAUACAUCUAGCACUACAGUAAACUAAGUUUCAAUUGCCUGUCAAAUCAUGUGGCAACCUAGAAUAGCUAUCCACAAUAACAACUAACAUCUAUCCCUUUUGAACUAUUUGUUCAUUCUCAAAAAUUUCUGUAACCUUAUCCUACACCCAAAAGGUAAAAUUUGAAAGACUAGCCCAAUCAUGCUCCCGGCUGCUGUUCUUAAAGCCCAACUUUCUCAAAAGGAGGCGCAUCAAAGAAAAAAUACGUAAUGAAAGAAAUUGCCUUAAGGUUCCAAAAUGCUGGCAAAGCUUUCAUGUGAUCUUGUGCAACCCAAUGUGCAGAUCAGAAGAUAUAGAAAUCAUAAGUGGGAGAGAGUAAUGCCAGACUGCUUUAAAAACCCGUUUCUGAUGAGCUCUUAUAGAUUGGGAUGGCUUAUUGGAAUUAUACCUGAUAUCAAACACAUGAAUCACAGGGUCUACUGAACCAGAUGUC
This 1258-nucleotide long non-coding RNA is filed under the name Jatropha curcas. RNAcentral's name for it is "long non-coding RNA (JCUR_LNC003247)". Lineage: Eukaryota; Viridiplantae; Streptophyta; Magnoliopsida; Malpighiales; Euphorbiaceae. The record is from RNAcentral.